Molecule: ribosomal RNA, 253 nt
Filed under: uncultured bacterium
Lineage: Bacteria
Description: partial 16S ribosomal RNA
Rfam family: Bacterial small subunit ribosomal RNA
Source: RNAcentral
UACGUAGGGGGCAAGCGUUGUCCGGAUUUAUUGGGCUUAAAGAGCGCGCAGGCGGUCGUUCAAGUCGCGUGUGAAAGCCCCCGGCUCAACUGGGGAGGGUCACGCGAUACUGAUCGACUCGAAGGCAGGAGAGGGUAGUGGAAUUCCCGGUGUAGUGGUGAAAUGCGUAGAUAUCGGGAGGAACACCAGUGGCGAAGGCGACUACCUGGCCUGUUCUUGACGCUGAGGCGCGAAAGCUAGGGGAGCAAACGGG